RNAcentral lists this ribosomal RNA (492 nucleotides) under uncultured bacterium. Its description in RNAcentral is "partial 16S ribosomal RNA". It matches the Rfam family "Bacterial small subunit ribosomal RNA", at positions 29 to 507 of the family's 1533-position model. The record is from RNAcentral.
AGUGAACGCUGGCGGUAGGCCUAACACAUGCAAGUCGAACGGCAGCACAGUAAGAGCUUGCUCUUACGGGUGGCGAGUGGCGGACGGGUGAGGAAUACAUCGGAAUCUACUUUUUCGUGGGGGAUAACGUAGGGAAACUUACGCUAAUACCGCAUACGACCUACGGGUGAAAGCAGUGGAUCUUCGGACCUUUCGCGAUUGAAUGAGCCGAUGCCGGAUUAGCUAGUUGGUGGGGUAAAGGCCCACCAAGGCGACGAUCCGUAGCUGGUCUGAGAGGAUGAUCAGCCACACUGGAACUGAGACACGGUCCAGACUCCUACGGGAGGCAGCAGUGGGGAAUAUUGGACAAUGGGCGCAAGCCUGAUCCAGCAAUACCGCGUGGGUGAAGAAGGCCUUCGGGUUGUAAAGCCCUUUUGUUGGGAAAGAAAAGCAGCAGGUUAAUACCCGGCUGUUCUGACGGUACCCAAAGAAUAAGCACCGGCUAACUUCGUG